CCUACGGGUGGCAGCAGUCGAGAAUCAUUCACAAUGGGGGAAACCCUGAUGGUGCGACGCCGCGUGGGGGAAUGAAGGUCUUCGGAUUGUAAACCCCUGUCAUGUGGGAGCAAAUUAAAAAGAUAGUACCACAAGAGGAAGAGACGGCUAACUCUGUGCCAGCAGCCGCGGUAAUACAGGGGUCUCAAGAGUUGUUCGGAAUCACUGGGCGUAAAGCGUGCGUAGGCUGUUUCGUAAGUCGUGUGUGAAAGGCGCGGGCUCAACCCGCGGACGGCACAUGAUACUGCGAGACUAGAGUAAGGGAGGGGGAACCGGAAUUCUCGGUGUAGCAGUGAAAUGCGUAGAUAUCGAGAGGAACACUCGUGGCGAAGGCGGGUUCCUGGACAUUAACUGACGCUGAGGCACGAAGGCCAGGGGAGCGAAAGGGAUUAGAUACCCGGGUAGUC
This 446-nucleotide ribosomal RNA is filed under the name uncultured bacterium. RNAcentral describes it as "partial 16S ribosomal RNA". It matches the Rfam family "Bacterial small subunit ribosomal RNA", at positions 338 to 795 of the family's 1533-position model. The record is from RNAcentral.